GCACCUAUAGUUUAACGGUUUAAAAUUAUUGUUUAGUAAUCAAUGGAUCAAGGUUCGAUUCCUUGUAGGUGCU
RNAcentral lists this transfer RNA (73 nucleotides) under marine bacterium AO1-C. It matches the Rfam family "tRNA". From Rfam's summary of the family: Transfer RNA (tRNA) molecules are approximately 80 nucleotides in length. Lineage: Bacteria; Pseudomonadati; Bacteroidota; Cytophagia; Cytophagales; Cytophagaceae. The record is from Rfam by way of RNAcentral.